Molecule: ribosomal RNA, 467 nt
Filed under: uncultured bacterium
Lineage: Bacteria
Description: partial 16S ribosomal RNA
Rfam family: Bacterial small subunit ribosomal RNA
Source: RNAcentral
ACGAACGCUGGCGGCGUGCUUAACACAUGCAAGUCGCACGGAAAGGCCCUGCUUUUGUGGGGUGCUCGAGUGGCGAACGGGUGAGUAACACGUGAGUAACCUGCCCUUGACUUUGGGAUAACUUCAGGAAACUGGGGCUAAUACCGGAUAGGAGCUCCUGCUGCAUGGUGGGGGUUGGAAAGUUUCGGCGGUUGGGGAUGGACUCGCGGCUUAUCAGCUUGUUGGUGGGGUAGUGGCUUACCAAGGCUUUGACGGGUAGCCGGCCUGAGAGGGUGACCGGCCACAUUGGGACUGAGAUACGGCCCAGACUCCUACGGGAGGCAGCAGUGGGGAAUAUUGCACAAUGGGCGGAAGCCUGAUGCAGCAACGCCGCGUGCAGGAUGACGGCCUUCGGGUUGUAAACCGCUUUCGCCUGUGACGAAGCGUGAGUGACGGUAAUGGGUAAAGAAGCACCGGCUAACUACGUG